Molecule: unclassified non-coding RNA, 391 nt
Filed under: soil metagenome
Description: partial contains 5.8S ribosomal RNA, internal transcribed spacer 2, and large subunit ribosomal RNA
Rfam family: 5.8S ribosomal RNA (bases 1-122)
Source: RNAcentral
GAUGAAGAACGUAGCGAAAUGCGAUACUUGGUGUGAAUUGCAGAAUCCCGUGAACCAUCGAGUCUUUGAACGCAAGUUGCGCCCGAAGCCACUAGGCCGAGGGCACGCCUGCCUGGGCGUCACACGUCGUUCCCCCCCCAUCUACUCCUUCGGGAUUGCGGGGGGCGGAUGAUGGCCUCCCGUGCGCCUCGCCGCGCGGUUGGCAUAAAUACCAAGUCCUCGGCGACGCACGCCACGACAAUCGGUGGUUGCGAAACCUCGGUUGCCCGUCGUGUGCGGUCGUCGCGCAUCGAGGGCUCGAAAAAAUUGCCGGGCUCCGGCUCGGCUUUCAACGCGACCCCAGGUCAGGCGGGGUUACCCGCUGAAUUUAAGCAUAUCAAUAAGCGGAGGA